CAUGGUUUAACUGGCUUUUGCCUGAGUUGGUUGGCAGGGUAGAGAACUUAGCACCAGAGCCUCUUAAGGAGUUUAUAACAUUCCGUCUGAAAAUACCUCUUAAAUACCCGAUUUUGAAUGUUUUGUAAAUUCCUUUUCUUUCUCGUCCCCCUCCUCCAGGCUUCUCAAUUAAUGAUGGAAUAAAUUGACCAACAGGACAAACAAUUGACAGCUGGGCAAAUGUGCCUAGACACCCUUUCUGUAGUCCAUGAAGGGACAAUGAACCUGAUUCUUCUUUCACAGCCACCGGUGUAACUCUGCCAAAUUGAUGUUUCUCCUCCUGAUUUACACUACUGUAACUUGAAAGGACAAUCUGGCCCCCAUCUUUGGAAAGCCUUUCUUCAAUAAUCAUCAUCAUUAUUAUCGUUGUGGUUUUGCUAUAUUGGUC
RNAcentral lists this long non-coding RNA (427 nucleotides) under Chrysemys picta bellii (western painted turtle). Its description in RNAcentral is "lncRNA (ENSCPBG00000001479.1)". Lineage: Eukaryota; Metazoa; Chordata; Testudines; Emydidae. The record is from RNAcentral.